CGUACGCGAAAGGGGCUUCGGCCCUGAGUAGAGUGGCAAACGGGUGAGUAACACGUGGGUGACCUGCCUUCGAGCGGGGGAUAACGUUCCGAAAGGAGCGCUAAUACCGCAUAACAUCCUGCCUUUGGAAAGGUGGAGAUCAAAGCCGGGGAUCGCAAGACCUGGCACUUGAAGAGGGGCCCGCGCCUGAUUAGCUAGUUGGUGGGGUAAUGGCUCACCAAGGCUACGAUCAGUAUCCGGCCUGAGAGGGCGGACGGACACACUGGGACUGAGACACGGCCCAGACUCCUACGGGAGGCAGCAGUGGGGAAUUGUUCGCAAUGGGCGCAAGCCUGACGACGCAACGCCGCGUGGAGGACGAAGAUCUUCGGGUCGUAAACUCCUGUCGAGCGGGACGAAUGUUCCGCGAGCUAAUAUCUCGCGGAAGUGACGGUACCGCUAAAGGAAGCCCCGGCUAACUCCGUGCCAGCAGCCGCGGUAAUACGGGGGGGGCAAGCGUUG
RNAcentral lists this ribosomal RNA (501 nucleotides) under uncultured bacterium. RNAcentral's name for it is "bacterial SSU rRNA". It matches the Rfam family "Bacterial small subunit ribosomal RNA", at positions 63 to 543 of the family's 1533-position model. The record is from RNAcentral.